GCUGGAGUGGUGGAACCGGCAGACACGCUAUCUUGAGGGGGUAGUGCCCAAGCGGGCGUGCGGGUUCAAAUCCCGCCUCCAGCA
RNAcentral lists this transfer RNA (84 nucleotides) under Caldithrix sp. RNAcentral describes it as "tRNA-Leu". It matches the Rfam family "tRNA". Rfam says of the family: Transfer RNA (tRNA) molecules are approximately 80 nucleotides in length. The record is from RNAcentral. Lineage: Bacteria; Pseudomonadati; Calditrichota; Calditrichia; Calditrichales; Calditrichaceae.